This 873-nucleotide ribosomal RNA is filed under the name uncultured bacterium. RNAcentral's name for it is "bacterial SSU rRNA". It matches the Rfam family "Bacterial small subunit ribosomal RNA", at positions 54 to 921 of the family's 1533-position model. The record is from RNAcentral.
CAUGCAAGUCGAGCGGGGAAAGGUAGCUUGCUACCUGACCUAGCGGCGGACGGGUGAGUAAUGCUUAGGAAUCUGCCUAUUAGUGGGGGACAACAUUCCGAAAGGAAUGCUAAUACCGCAUACGCCCUACGGGGGAAAGCAGGGGAUCUUCGGACCUUGCGCUAAUAGAUGAGCCUAAGUCAGAUUAGCUAGUUGGUGGGGUAAAGGCCUACCAAGGCGACGAUCUGUAGCGGGUCUGAGAGGAUGAUCCGCCACACUGGGACUGAGACACGGCCCAGACUCCUACGGGAGGCAGCAGUGGGGAAUAUUGGACAAUGGGCGAAAGCCUGAUCCAGCCAUGCCGCGUGUGUGAAGAAGGCCUUUUGGUUGUAAAGCACUUUAAGCGAGGAGGAGGCUACUUAGAUUAAUACUCUAGGAUAGUGGACGUUACUCGCAGAAUAAGCACCGGCUAACUCUGUGCCAGCAGCCGCGGUAAUACAGAGGGUGCGAGCGUUAAUCGGAUUUACUGGGCGUAAAGCGUGCGUAGGCGGCUUCUUAAGUCGGAUGUGAAAUCCCUGAGCUUAACUUAGGAAUUGCAUUCGAUACUGGGAAGCUAGAGUAUGGGAGAGGAUGGUAGAAUUCCAAGGUGUAGCGGUGAAAUGCGUAGAGAUCUGGAGGAAUACCGAUGGCGAAGCAGCCAUCUGGCCUAAUACUGACGCUGAGGUACGAAAGCAUGGGGAGCAAACAGGAUUAGAUACCCUGGUAGUUCAUGCCGUAAACGAUGUCUACUAGCCGUUGGGGCCUUUGAGCUUUAGUGGCGCAGCUAACGCGAAUAAGUAGACCGCCUGGGGAGUACGNCGCACGAACUAUAACUCAAAUGAUUUGACGGGGGCC